GACGAACGCUGGCGGCGUGCUUAACACAUGCAAGUCGAACGAAGAGCGACGGAAGCUUGCUUCUAUCAAUCUUAGUGGCGAACGGGUGAGUAACGCGUAAUCAACCUGCCCUUCAGAGGGGGACAACAGUUGGAAACGACUGCUAAUACCGCAUACGAUCUGACCUCGGCAUCGAGGAUGGAUGAAAGGUGGCCUCUAUGUAUAAGCUAUCACUGAAGGAGGGGAUUGCGUCUGAUUAGCUAGUUGGAGGGGUAACGGCCCACCAAGGCGAUGAUCAGUAGCCGGUCUGAGAGGAUGAACGGCCACAUUGGGACUGAGACACGGCCCAGACUCCUACGGGAGGCAGCAGUGGGGAAUCUUCCGCAAUGGACGAAAGUCUGACGGAGCAACGCCGCGUGAGUGAUGACGGCCUUCGGGUUGUAAAGCUCUGUUAAUCGGGACGAAAGGCCUUCUUGCGAACAGUUAGAA
This 468-nucleotide ribosomal RNA is filed under the name Veillonella dispar. Its description in RNAcentral is "bacterial SSU rRNA". It matches the Rfam family "Bacterial small subunit ribosomal RNA", at positions 28 to 472 of the family's 1533-position model. The record is from RNAcentral. Lineage: Bacteria; Bacillati; Bacillota; Negativicutes; Veillonellales; Veillonellaceae.